RNAcentral lists this ribosomal RNA (366 nucleotides) under uncultured Desulfobulbus sp. RNAcentral's name for it is "bacterial SSU rRNA". It matches the Rfam family "Bacterial small subunit ribosomal RNA", at positions 1017 to 1382 of the family's 1533-position model. Lineage: Bacteria; Pseudomonadati; Thermodesulfobacteriota; Desulfobulbia; Desulfobulbales; Desulfobulbaceae. The record is from RNAcentral.
CUGGAAGGAAUCUGGAGACAGGUGGCUGCGAUGGCUGUCGUCAGCUCGUGUCGUGAGAUGUUGGGUUAAGUCCCGCACGAGCGCAACCCUUGCCUUUAGUUGCCAGCAGUUCGGCUGGGCACUCUAAAGGGACUGCCGGUGUUAAACCGGAGGAAGGUGGGGAUGACGUCAAGUCCUCAUGGCCUUUAUGACCAGGGCUACACACGUACUACAAUGGCCGAUACAAAGGGCAGCGACACUGCGAGGUGAAGCCAAUCCCGUAAAAUCGGUCUCAGUCCGGAUUGGAGUCUGCAACUCGACUCCAUGAAGUUGGAAUCGCUAGUAAUCGUGGAUCAGCAUGCCACGGUGAAUACGUUCCCGGGCCUU